UACAGAGGGUGCAAGCGUUAAUCGGAAUUACUGGGCGUAAAGCGUGCGUAGACGGUUACAUAAGUCGGGUGUGAAAGCCCCGGGCUCAACCUGGGAAUUGCAGUGGAAACUAGGGGACUUGAAUCUGGCAGAGGGGGGUGGAAUUCCACGUGUAGCAGUGAAAUGCGUAGAGAUGUGGAGGAACACCGAUGGCGAAGGCAGCCCCCUGGGCUGAGAUUGACGCUCAGGCACGAAAGCGUGGGGAGCAAACAGG
RNAcentral lists this ribosomal RNA (253 nucleotides) under uncultured bacterium. Its description in RNAcentral is "partial 16S ribosomal RNA". It matches the Rfam family "Bacterial small subunit ribosomal RNA", at positions 524 to 776 of the family's 1533-position model. The record is from RNAcentral.